RNAcentral lists this ribosomal RNA (117 nucleotides) under Vibrio parahaemolyticus. RNAcentral's name for it is "partial 16S ribosomal RNA". It matches the Rfam family "Bacterial small subunit ribosomal RNA", at positions 1 to 98 of the family's 1533-position model. Lineage: Bacteria; Pseudomonadati; Pseudomonadota; Gammaproteobacteria; Vibrionales; Vibrionaceae. The record is from RNAcentral.
UUAAAUUGAAGAGUUUGAUCAUGGCUCAGAUUGAACGCUGGCGGCAGGCCUAACACAUGCAAGUCGAGCGGAAACGAGUUAUCAGAACCUUCGGGGGACGAUAACGGCGUCGAGCGG